UUUCAGAUAAACUGGUGUGGUUAACAGUGGUGCUUUGGAUGUGUAUGUCAGAUGAGGAUGCAGAAAGUUCAAGUAAAAAGAGAUCAGCUGGUAUGGUUAACAGUGGAUCUCUGGAUGUCUUUGCCAGGUAUGUUUGUGCUGAAAUAGUUUCAUUGGUUAUUCAUUAAAUAGAAUUAAAACUU
Molecule: long non-coding RNA, 182 nt
Organism: Homarus americanus (American lobster)
Lineage: Eukaryota; Metazoa; Arthropoda; Malacostraca; Decapoda; Nephropidae
Exons: 3
Source: RefSeq, a predicted model, not a curated record